AGAGCCUGGGCCUGGGCCUGGGCCUAGGCCUAGAGCCUGGGCCUAGAGCCUGGGCCUAGAGCCUGGGCCUAGGCCUAGAGCCUGGGUCUAGAGCUUGGGGCUAGAGCCUAGGCCUAGAGCC
Molecule: non-coding RNA, 121 nt
Organism: Petromyzon marinus (sea lamprey)
Lineage: Eukaryota; Metazoa; Chordata; Hyperoartia; Petromyzontiformes; Petromyzontidae
Source: RefSeq, a predicted model, not a curated record